UUCCUGAUGUUCAGUCAGAAUCUCAUUUCUUGUAACUUGAAUCCAUUGGUUCGAGUCCUGCUCUCCAAAGAGGGAGAAAACAAGCUUACUCCAUCUUCCAGCCCUUAAGAUAUUUGAAGACGGCUAUCACAUCUCCUCUCAGACUCCUCUUUCCCAGGCUGAACAUACCCAGCUCCUUCAAGC
Non-coding RNA from Podarcis lilfordi (Lilford's wall lizard), 183 nucleotides. The record is from the annotation of a GenBank genome assembly. Lineage: Eukaryota; Metazoa; Chordata; Lepidosauria; Squamata; Lacertidae.